UCACACAGUGGUGACAUUGGACCGACCCGGUCUGUUCUAUUUCAUGAGUGGGGUUGCUGAACACUGCGAGAAAGGGCAGAAGAUGGUCGUCAAAGUCUUGGAACCAGCUGGGGUUGAAACCCCACCUGCUGAUGCUGAUCAAUCUGAAAACCAGAAUUCAUCUGAGUCAUUACCACAACACAAGAAUAAUAACAAUAAUACCACUGGUGCACUUGCUGCCAUUUCUUCUACAACUAUUAUCUUCUGCAUCAUGACCUCUCUCCUUGGUCUCUUUUUCUUCUAAAUUAAUGCCACUGGUGAUUAUUUUUGUUGUUGAAAUCUUGUCAAAAAAUUGUGUGGUAGCUAAAGCCCAGGGAGGCCCAAAAGAAUUUGUCAUUGCCAGUUGUUGGGUCUUGACAUCCCCACCCCAACAAGAACAACAUAAAUAUAUGAUUAAUAUUAAUAAUAAAAGCAGGAAAUGAUUAAUUAUAUAUUUGCAUAUCUUGCAAGCUCCUCAUAAAAAUAAAAAUAAAAAUAAAAAACUUAUAGCCUGCUUUAAACGCUAUCUAUCGUACAUGCAUCACAUAUAUACUCGCAUCGCAUACUACUACUAGUCAAAGAGAUAAAACAAUAUAAUAUAAUUGAAGCAUGUUCGAGAUGCAGCAGAAGAGAACAGAACGCCAUUUGGCCAAUCAACCUCUCCCAUCAUCACCCCCAUAACCCACCUCCAACCCAAAAGGGGAAAGCUAGAGAAUUCCAAGAAUAAUUCAAUCCUCCAAAAAUAGCAGUAGUGGGCCCAACUUUUAUUAUUAUUUUUCUCAUGUAUUUCUAAUUUUUAUUCACACAGUUACACAGUUACACAGUUACACAGUUGCACAGUUGCACAGUUGCAGUGAACUGAAAAGACAAGUUUCACAACGGCAUUAGCCAGUUGUCGAGAGUUUUCUAGGGUUACUAUCAUCCUAGGGCUAGAAAGAGACCAGUAGUGUGCGUAGAUGAUGGUGGGGUGUCGACACGUGUUAUGGUGGAGGAUAUUGUUUAUGGGAUGCUAAGCAUAAUAGUAGCCCACCGCCCCAUAUGGGUGUGUAACUUUAAUAUAGAGGGAUAAGGAAUGUGUGUUGAGGGAUGCUUUGAAAUACCUUCCUCUCCAUGUUUCUUGGCAAGUUGCAAUAAUAAUUGCCAUUAUCCCUGACUGACUGACUCACUGACCCCCCAAGCCAAGACCAAACCCUUCCUCUCCUCAUUCCCACACAAAACUUGAAUAUCUUUGAUUGAAUGAAAUACUGCACACUGUUUUCUCCUCCUCUCCUUUUAUCAAAAUAGGGAGAGCUGCUAUUUUAGGCAAUUGAUUUAUAUGAUGUUAGAGGUAUAUAUAAAAAAGAAGAAGAUAUAUAUGCUUGGUCAUGAUCAUGAAUAUUAGCGAUCAAGUGACAUAUGGGGUUGGUUGAGGGCAGAUAUUUUAGAUUUG
This 1447-nucleotide long non-coding RNA is filed under the name Prunus persica (peach). RNAcentral's name for it is "long non-coding RNA (PPER_LNC005534)". Lineage: Eukaryota; Viridiplantae; Streptophyta; Magnoliopsida; Rosales; Rosaceae. The record is from RNAcentral.